UACAGAGGUGGCAGGCGUUGUUCGGAAUUACUGGGCGUAAAGGGCGCGUAGGCGGCCUGACAAGUCAGAUGUGAAAGCCCCGGGCUUAACCUGGGAAUUGCAUCUGAAACUGUAAGGCUUGAGUUCUGGAGGGGGUAGUGGAAUUCCCAGUGUAGCGGUGAAAUGCGUAGAUAUUGGGAGGAACACCUGCGGCGAAGGCGGCUACCUGGACAGAAACUGACGCUGAGGCGCGAAAGCUAGGGGAG
RNAcentral lists this ribosomal RNA (245 nucleotides) under uncultured bacterium. RNAcentral's name for it is "partial 16S ribosomal RNA". It matches the Rfam family "Bacterial small subunit ribosomal RNA", at positions 524 to 768 of the family's 1533-position model. The record is from RNAcentral.